This is a long non-coding RNA of Leptidea sinapis, 944 nucleotides long. RefSeq lists it as uncharacterized. The record is from RefSeq and is a predicted model, not a curated record. NCBI's taxonomy places the organism in Eukaryota, Metazoa, Arthropoda, Insecta, Lepidoptera, Pieridae. The transcript has 2 exons.
GAAUCUUUAAAAUAGGAAAAAGUUGAAAGUACUAAGAGAUUGGAUUUCCAACAGAUUAUUGAUUCAAAACUAUUUGAUUAAGUUAUUACCUUUCGUUUAUAUUUUUAAUUAAGUGGCAGCGUUUCUUCAUCUUCGGAUUUGUUCCGCUAUUUUAAUAGUUAGCACUUUUAUGAUACGACCUGUACAAAUACAAAUACCUUUGAAGAUGUUUCUCUACGGAUAUUUUGUUAUUGCAUUCAUGAUAUUUCAUCACACGCACCAAACCGAAUUCAAAGUUAUUGGAACAGUUGCUGAAGACACGAAUAGUGAGCCUAAAGUUGAACUAUACUUCGGUAAACUACUUGGCCUUUCAGGGAAGAAUGGGCAGAUCCAAAAAAAUAAUCCUCACCUUGCAAUCGGACCUGCAAUAGGAGCGGGUUUCAAUAAGGCUUACGGAAAACGCUUACCUUCCAGCGGAAUUAAAGAAAGUCGUUGCAUCUUCUGGAAUGUUGGGAGUCAUUGUAAAAUUGGAAAACGGGGAUAAUAUUCUCAUUCACGUUACAUUUCAAGUUUACAAUCUCAUUCAAGUUUACACUCAAAUUGGCAUCAUCAAAAUAAAAGAUUUUUUUUAAAACAACCCUGAUAAAAUGUAAAUAUGAAGUAAUAAUAUCAUUUUUAGCAGAUUAGGUAGUGACUACCUGAUGGCAAUGAUGACCACCAAUCAAAAGAUAAUUUUGUCCCCCUAUCCCCUUAACAUAAUUUUUACUCCCAAUAAGCGAAAAGUCUUAUAGAAUAUGAACAUUAUGGUUCUGGACAAUGUAUUACAGAUUCAAAACGAAACUUUAGAAGAUUUUCACAUGACAAUUAAAAAAAUAAUAAUUGUUACUUUAUAUAAAUUACAGAAAUCUUGAGAAAUGUACUUUUGCAACCGUCCCUAUUAAUAUUAUAGUUAUGAUUGAUAAAUA